GACGAACGCUGGCGGCGUGCUUAACACAUGCAAGUCGAACGGCAAGGCCCUUUCGGGUGUACACAAGUGGCGAACGGGGGAGGAACACGUGAGUAAACUUCCCACAAUUUUGGUAUAACGCUAGGAACCUGGUGCUACUACUGGAAAUGUGCCCUUGCUGCAUGGUGGGGGUUGAAAAGCUCUUGGGGGUGUGGAUGGACUGGCGGCCUAUCGGCGUGUUGGUGGGGUAGUGGGCUACCAAGCCGACAACGCGAAGCGGGCCUGAGGGAGUGACCGGCCACACUGGGACUGAGAGACGGCAGAGACGCGUACGGGAGGCAGCAGUGGGGAAGAUUGAUCAAUGGACGCCGGGCUGAUGCAGAAGCGCCGCGUGCGGGAUGACGGUCUUGGGGUUGUAGAACGGCUGCAGCAGGGACGAAGCUUUUUGUGACGGUACCUGAAGAAGAAGCACCGGCUAACUACGUG
This 465-nucleotide ribosomal RNA is filed under the name uncultured bacterium. Its description in RNAcentral is "partial 16S ribosomal RNA". It matches the Rfam family "Bacterial small subunit ribosomal RNA", at positions 28 to 507 of the family's 1533-position model. The record is from RNAcentral.